Molecule: long non-coding RNA, 2468 nt
Filed under: Callithrix jacchus (white-tufted-ear marmoset)
Lineage: Eukaryota; Metazoa; Chordata; Mammalia; Primates; Cebidae
Description: lncRNA (ENSCJAG00000058961.2)
Source: RNAcentral
AUUUAUUCUGUACAGAAUAUUUCAUAUAGUGUAGAACAUAUAUACACUAUAAGAAACUUGAGGAUAAUUUAGAUUUACAAUUAUUCUCAACUCUUUGCACAGUGUCUGUUGCAGAGCAGCACCUCAACCAAUAUUGUUAAUUAAUUAAUGCAUAAAUGAGGGAAUCAAUAUUUUAAAUAAUCUGAGACCAGUAAUUAUCCCUAUGCUAGCUUUUGCCUAUUACCCAUCAUUCCCUUCAGCACAUUGGCACCAACUUGACAAAGUGCAAAUUGACCUAAUAUUGAACAUGGAAAAGCAGUGAAGAUAUAUUGAAAGAUAAAUUUGACUUCAACAACAAAGCAUGCAUUUGAAUUCCCCACUUUUGGAUUUCCAGGUAUCUGUCCUUCCAUUAGCCCCAGCUAUAAGAGGGUUCUACUCAAGAUUUACUGCAGGUUCCCUGCCUUCUCGUAGUCCUAACAUGAACCCAAGACAUUCCACAGAGCACACAAAGGAUCCUGAGCUAUCCCAGUGUCUGGGCUGGAAAGAGAAGAGGCUUCUGCUACCUUAUCACACUGAAGAGUAUUAUACAGAAGAUGAUUCAAGGAGCAUUUAGCUUCAUAACAUCCAAGGAUCACUUCAGUUCUAAGUAUGCUUUCCCUGAGAGUGGAAUUCUUGGUUGCCAUUACAUCAAACUGAGAGGAAUCCACUAUCUUCUUGGUUGCCAUUACAUCAGAUUGAGAAGAAUCCACUAUCUUCUUGGUUGCCAUUACGUCAGAUUGAGAAGAACCCACUAUCUUCUUGGUUGCCAUUACAUCAGAUUGAGAAGAACCCACUAUCUUCUUGGUUGCCAUUACAUCAGAUUGAGAAGAACCCACUAUCUUCUUGGUUGCCAUUACAUCAGAUUGAGAAGAACCCACUAUCUUCUUGGUUGCCAUUACAUCAGAUUGAGAAGAACCCACUAUCUUCUUGGUUGCCAUUACAUCAGAUUGAGAAGAACCCACUAUCUUCUUGGUUGCCAUUACAUCAGAUUGAGAAGAACCCACUAUCUUCUUGGUUGCCAUUACAUCAAAUUGAGAAUAAUCCACUAUCUUCUGGCUUCUAUUGCUACUACUGAGAAGUCAACUUGAGACACUUAUUCUUUUAAAGAUAAUAUAUCUUUUUCUCUGGCUGCUUUUAAGAUUUUUCUCUUUGUCUCUGGUGUUGUACAGUUUUCAUGUGAUGUGUCUAGGUAUAGAUAUCUUUUCAUUUAUGCAGUUGGGGACAAAUUCUGAAAGAGCUAUAAUACUAGUUAUGACAUUUUUAUUUCUAGAGGUUUUCUGUUUGGUUCUUUCAUCAAAUUUGUAAUAUCAUUUUUAUAGUAUCCUAUUACUUAAAGUCAUUUUCAAACUUGUCUUCUACUUCUCUACAUAUAUUUCACAUGGUUGUUUUACAGGCUUUCUCCAAUAUUCCAAUAUCUGAAACAUUUGCAAGGCUUUUUCAUUUUGUUUUGUCUUUGUUUUUAUUGGUUCUUAUGCAUGUCAAUUUGUUUUCCUAUAGGCUUGGUUAUUUUUAGCAGUGCUAUGACCUUUCUACUUGAAAAAAAAAUGCAGGAAUGAUCUCAGGCUUUCUUCAUAGAAUACUUGGAUUUUCUUCUGUCGGGUGCCCAAAAGAAACAUCAAUCGAGAACCACCUGGUUUUGUCUUUUAUUGGAUUUCUCACCUUGUUUGAACCCUGGAGUUUUACCUCUGUAAUCCUCUUCUUACAUCAAAACAAUAGUUUAAAAGUGCAACAAUACCCUCAGAAGAAAAUAAGCUUCCAUGGUCAACUUUCCUUUCAAGAGUUCUGGUUUCUCUUUAGCUUCUCUAGUCAAUUCUUUUAUGUUUUGAUAACUUUUUAUCGGUUGUGCUGUAUAAUCUGGAAACAAAACCUUUGAGUGUGAUGAGACUAUGCAUUAUCCAACAUUACUAGGAUCAUAGAACUUUAAGGAUAUUUUAAAAUACAACCAGUUGAAUUUAAUUUUCUACAUGGUUUUAGCUGACUUGUAGCACCAGUUUAUGAGGUCUUUCUCCAGAUCUGAUAAAAUAUGAUUUAAAGUAAUAAAUGGUGGAAAAUGAAAGCAUUUGUACCAUUUGUAGUUGUGUGCAACCAAAUACUAUAAGGCACAUAUAUGCAUAUAACUCAAGAACAUUUUGUCUUGUAAAUUUGACUCUAAUUCUUUAUUUUUAAUGUCGCCAAGAUAUCUUAUUAUACAGCUUAAUUAUAUUUACUUAUUGCUAAUCAUUGACCAUUAUGUUUUCCAGUUUUUCACCAUAAUAACUAAUACCAUGUUGUAUUUGUUAGUAUAUGAAUCUAGGUGAGAAUCUAUAAUAUUUUGUAGUGAAAUUAGUUGACCAAAGAGUGUAAGCAUAUAUGGUUCUUGACAAGUGCUGCUAAAUUACCCUUCAAUAAAUAUAUAUUCUCCAGCCACAAGACCUGAGGUUUGUUUUAACAAUGCUAACUAACACUGAUGG